Molecule: long non-coding RNA, 779 nt
Organism: Uranotaenia lowii
Lineage: Eukaryota; Metazoa; Arthropoda; Insecta; Diptera; Culicidae
Exons: 3
Source: RefSeq, a predicted model, not a curated record
GUGAAAGUUAUGUGGCCAAUAUAUUCGAGUUCGGGACCAAACCCCACAACCAACAGCAAAUAUGUCCUCCCGGGACGACUUCCAAGCAGUGAAGGUGAAGCACAAAACGAUUCAGGAACGGCUGAAAAAGGGCUAGAAGGAAUGCCAAGAUUCGACGCUUUGCGAGGGAAUCAGUCCGGGUCCCAGUGUUGUAGGUGGUCUCAUCCAGAUGGAAGCCGGUUCCAGUGAUCUCGUAGAUGACGAGAGCAAGGUGCUGCUGGUGACAAUUAAUCGAGAACAAGCUGACAUCAACUAUGAAAUCUAUAAAACCCUGGUUCGGGUUCUGUCGGAUCUGACUUCUAUAUUGCCCACCAACUCGUCUCAGAUUGCACUAUUGCACCUUGCUAACAAUAACAUUUACAAAACUCCGUCCGUUUCGAUUGGGUUCUUCACCAAGUGACAACGUAGUGAAAACAUCACCAGCAGCAGUCGACAAUGUGUGCCGAUCGCCAAAACAAUUAUUCCAGCAAAAGUUACCAAUCAUCAGUUGAAACCAUUCCGGUUGAAAUCUCCUGCAUCUAAUUGGUUGGAAGACGGUGAAUCUACAUAAAUAUGUUCCUUGCUAAGGAACAUAUUUCAUCCACCUGCGAAAAGUGAAGGAGUUUCCGGACAGAAUCCAAUAUAGCAAGUUUUGCAAGGAAAAGACCAAAGCACAAUUAACAAGAUAAACCAUGGUUGAGGAUAAUAUUCUUACACACUAAGGAAUUCCGGUGGAAUAAAUGUUCAUGUAACAAGGCCGA